Molecule: ribosomal RNA, 432 nt
Filed under: uncultured bacterium
Lineage: Bacteria
Description: partial 16S ribosomal RNA
Rfam family: Bacterial small subunit ribosomal RNA
Source: RNAcentral
ACGAACGCUGGCGGCAUGCCUAACACCUGCCAGUCGAACGAGACCUUCGGGUCUAGUGGCGCACGGGUGCGUAACGCGUGGGAACCUGCCCUUAGGUUCGGAAUAACUCCCCGAAAGGGGUGCUAAUACCGGAUAAUGUCUUCGGACCAAAGAUUUAUCGCCUUUGGAUGGGCCCGCGUUGGAUUAGCUAGUUGGUAGGGUAAAAGCCUACCAAGGCGACGAUCCAUAGCUGGUCUGAGAGGAUGAUCAGCCACACUGGGACUGAGACACGGCCCAGACUCCUACGGGAGGCAGCAGUGGGGAAUAUUGGACAAUGGGCGAAAGCCUAAUCCAGCAAUGCCGCGUGAGUGAUGAAGGCCUUAGGGUUGUAAAGCUCUUUUACCCGGGAUGAUAAUGACAGUACCGGGAGAAUAAGCUCCGGCUAACUCCGUG